Molecule: ribosomal RNA, 492 nt
Filed under: uncultured bacterium
Lineage: Bacteria
Description: partial 16S ribosomal RNA
Rfam family: Bacterial small subunit ribosomal RNA
Source: RNAcentral
AGUGAACGCUGGCGGUAGGCCUAACACAUGCAAGUCGAACGGCAGCACAGUAAGAGCUUGCUCUUACGGGUGGCGAGUGGCGGACGGGUGAGGAAUACAUCGGAAUCUACUUUUUCGUGGGGGAUAACGUAGGGAAACUUACGCUAAUACCGCAUACGACAUACGGGUGAAAGCAGGGGAUCUUCGGACCUUUCGCGAUUGAAUGAGCCGAUGUCGGAUUAGCUAGUUGGCGGGGUAAAGGCCCACCAAGGCGACGAUCCGUAGCUGGUCUGAGAGGAUGAUCAGCCACACUGGAACUGAGACACGGUCCAGACUCCUACGGGAGGCAGCAGUGGGGAAUAUUGGACAAUGGGCGAAAGCCUGAUCCAGCCAUACCGCGUGGGUGAAGAAGGCCUUCGGGUUGUAAAGCCCUUUUGUUGGGAAAGAAAAGCAGCAGGUUAAUACCCCGCUGUUCUGACGGUACCCAAAGAAUAAGCACCGGCUAACUUCGUG